This is a long non-coding RNA of Pelmatolapia mariae (spotted tilapia), 406 nucleotides long. RefSeq lists it as uncharacterized. The transcript has 4 exons. NCBI's taxonomy places the organism in Eukaryota, Metazoa, Chordata, Actinopteri, Cichliformes, Cichlidae. The record is from RefSeq and is a predicted model, not a curated record.
AUGUCGACGGCAAUACGAAGACUGAUUAAAAGCACAAAGGCAAUCAAAACGUACAGGAGAACAUGCGAAGGAGACGCAUUCCUCCACGGGAGGAUGCAGUCUGUCAUGUUUCUGCUGGAAGGGACAAACUGGGACUUGAUAUCCACUACAUAAAUGCCUUCAAAGGUCGGGGCAUUUUCACGACUGUUCCAUUCCAAAAAGGAGACUUCCUUUUGGAAUACAGAGGUAAACUCAUAACAAAAGAAGAAUGUGAGCGGAGACACAGAGUUUAUCAUGACAGCCUGAAGGUGUUCAUGUUUGAAUUCAAGUUUGAUGGAAAACUCUGGUGUGUGGAUGCAUCUCAAGAAGAUGGGUCAUUAGGCAGACUUGUCAACGACAACCACAUCAGUCCAAGUGCUAAGAUGAA